Molecule: ribosomal RNA, 492 nt
Filed under: uncultured bacterium
Lineage: Bacteria
Description: partial 16S ribosomal RNA
Rfam family: Bacterial small subunit ribosomal RNA
Source: RNAcentral
AGUGAACGCUGGCGGUAGGCCUAACACAUGCAAGUCGAACGGCAGCACAGUAAGAGCUUGCUCUUACGGGUGGCGAGUGGCGGACGGGUGAGGAAUACAUCGGAAUCUACUUUUUCGUGGGGGAUAACGUAGGGAAACUUACGCUAAUACCGCAUACGACCUACGGGUGAAAGCAGGGGAUCUUCGGACCUUGCGCGAUUGAAUGAGCCGAUGUCGGAUUAGCUAGUUGGCGGGGUAAAGGCCCACCAAGGCGCCGAUCCGUAGCUGGUCUGAGAGGAUGGUCGGCCACACUAGAACUGGGACACGGUCCAGACUCCUACGGGAGGCAGCAGUUGGGAAUAUUGGACAAUGGGCGCAAGCCUGAUCCAGCCAUACCGCGUGUGUUAAGAAGGCCUUCGGGUUGUAAAGCCCUUUUGUUGGGAAAGAAAAGCAGCAGGUUAAUACCCCGCUGUUCUGACGGUACCCAAAGAAUAAGCACCGGCUAACUUCGUG